CUGGCAAGAUGGUUGCCCGCUACCUGUCUCUAUAUUGAAGUCAGAAUAGCGCAGUGACGUAGGAACCAGCCUGACGUCAUUUAGAGCAGGUUGUCCAGUCUAGGCGGACUGUUACCUCGUCAAUGUUCCAAACGAAAAUACGGUGUGCCAAAAACCAAAUCAACAGGAAGAGUUAUCUCUCUUCCAUACAUCAUUUUAUUUGGGGUUACUCUAGUUGAUUCAUGAACGGAUGAACGAUAAGCCAUCAUUAUCAUAGAAAUAUCAACAUUAUUCAGAGGAUCCUCAAAACCAGAUGAAUGGUCCUGUUGAUAAGAGGUAGAAGGCAUAUUAGUGAUAUCUGCAGUGCCAAUGCCAACCAUCCGGAAUGAUAUAGGUGGAAUCGGAUCUCCCUCUAUGUCAGUGGCACUGGCCAGUUUUUCACAGCCUCGAUUUUGGCAGGAUCAGUAGCAAUACCUUCUGCACUAACAAUGUGCCCAAGAAUCAUUCAGAUUUGGUAUACUCCUAUCGAGCACUUCCCUGACAUGAUCAGGGGGAACAACUGUGUCUUCAGUUACAGCAAGCCUGCACACUUUUGGCUCUGCAUCAGCUAAGAAGAGAUUGUAAGUGAGAAGCGGACAAUCGCUGCAGAUGCUUUGUUAGAAGCUGCAUAUCCUGUCGCAAACCCUGGACAGCUUCAUUGAAUUUUGUCUGUUCAUGACAAUCUCCAGACAGGUUUUGUUCCUUAGAUUGUCCGACUGCAUGGACCCGAUGUGUCUUCUGUCGGUCUGCCAUUCUAAAAGCCUCCAGCUGUACAGCUAACAGCUCAGCUUCACCUAUAUCCUUGACUCUGGCUUCACGAAGUCGAAGCCUCAUAUCGGUAUCUGGUAAAGCAUCUAUAAAAUAAUCUCUUGCGAGGGUUGACACCACGUUGGUAGGUGCUUCCGGGUAUGCUUGUCUUGAAAGCUUCUUGAUCGACUGAGCAAGAUCAGAUAUACUUUCAUUUCUCUGCUUGGUUUUAGUCUGAAGGGUGGCCUUAAAUAUUUCAGACCUACUGGUUGAGCCAAAUCUAAGGUUUAAUAUCUGAACAAGAUUAUCACAGUCCCUCCUUUGCUCAUGGGAUAAUUCAUUUAGCAGGGACCUUGCACUUCCUUCAAGGCUACUGGCUAGGUAUAGGGACUUAGUCUUAUAAUCCCAGCGAUUUAAUUCUGAUAGGACUCCAAACUGAGCAAGAUAAUCUUCAAGCUCCUCACUUCCAUUGUAACUUGGUGGUCGCAUUUUGGUGGGAGCAGGCAUAUGAUUAUUUGGAGUAGUCUCCCUUGAAUGAUAAAACCCCUGUGUGGGUUCAUCUUGACAUGUCAAACUACUACUACCAGGUUGUGUCCCUAACCUUGUAGCCGGGGUUCUACCAUAACUAUUGUUUAUAUCUGUAGUUAACUCAUUGCAUGGAUUUUGUAGGGUGUGUAUUGGAACACCACAUGUUUGUCGUGAGGUUUUCAAUUCCUUCACCUCAGAACUAACCUUUUCAAUUUCUAAGAUUGGAGGACAUCAGCUACGGACAAAGUGUCAUCAACAGUCUCAUCCAAAACGGUGAAGUCAGGGUCUUCCAUACUAGAACCUCUUGAGGGAAUCCAAUACUAUCAUUUAAAUUCUGAUGACAAGGCACAGAUUGCUCUUUGAAUGUGAUCUCGGAAUCGCUCAUGUCUGAAAAAGGGUUCACCAACUACAGAACUUCACUAGAUCCCACUUCUGACACCAAUUGUUGCGUGACCAACCCUCCGGCUGGCAACCAACGUAUUUGCAGGCGUUCUGUAGCUGUAGGUGAAGACCCCCUGCAAUAACCCAGACACGAACAGAUAACAGAGUACUUCAAUUAAGAACAACACAAACUUUAUUACAUAAAUAUAUAUAAUAAUUAAUACAAUAUUUAAUAAUUAAUAAUUAAUAUUUAAUAUUUAAAAAUGUACAUUGAAGUUAAAAGUUUUACUAGUUCCACGUUGAAAAUAAUUAUUAGUACCGGUACUUAGUUUUUUACAGUUGUGAAUAUAUCAGGAUACUUGGUGUAUGCCAUACACGAUUCAGGAACUUCUGGAUUGGUACGGUUUUCCUGUAAAUAAAAAUAUCAAGCCCAAGAGAAGUUAUCCCCCUUUAGUGCCCAAAUUCGGUUCCAGACCACCUUAUUUACGUUCCCCAACUCCCUGCAGCAUUUCCACUAGAAACCUUGACCCUGUUAACGACGUGAUGGCAGAUAGCAAUCGACUUCGGUCAAGCAGCAUCUCUACCCUGGAGCCUUUCAAGUAUUCUUAAGAUCAAUCACUUUAUAUUUCAAACUAUUCUAACAGUAGUAGCACCUAUUGUUUUACUAGGUGAGGAUUUAUUAUAAAACAUGAUCGGUACAUUUUCAUUCCUAUAAUAUUAUACGAUAUUUCAUGAUGUUUUUCAAGCGCUUAACGGCUUCUACUAUUCGCCGCUUUAAGGAAUUGGCUCUAGACUAUAUGCUAUCUCCCUCCACGUCGGACAUUGAAAGCUAUGCUUUCAAUAUUGUUUUUCCAAUGAAUUGUAAAUAUUUAUUUUAAUACAUAUUGCAUACAGUAAUCAUAUUCGCCGUUGCCUUAAUCGAAUAAAUAACUUUAUUGGCCUUGGUAAAUACGGCGU
Patella vulgata (common limpet) is the source of this 2631-nucleotide long non-coding RNA. RefSeq lists it as uncharacterized. Lineage: Eukaryota; Metazoa; Mollusca; Gastropoda; Patellidae. The record is from RefSeq and is a predicted model, not a curated record. The transcript has 8 exons.